AGUGAUUCCUACGGGAGGCAGCAGUGGGGAAUAUUGCACAAUGGGCGAAAGCCUGAUGCAGCAACGCCGCGUGAGCGAUGAAGGCCUUCGGGUCGUAAAGCUCUGUCCUCAAGGAAGAUAAUGACGGUACUUGAGGAGGAAGCCCCGGCUAACUACGUG
This 159-nucleotide ribosomal RNA is filed under the name uncultured Clostridium sp. RNAcentral's name for it is "partial 16S ribosomal RNA". It matches the Rfam family "Bacterial small subunit ribosomal RNA", at positions 331 to 507 of the family's 1533-position model. Lineage: Bacteria; Bacillati; Bacillota; Clostridia; Eubacteriales; Clostridiaceae. The record is from RNAcentral.